CAGCAGCCGCGGUAAUACGAAGGGUGCAAGCGUUACUCGGAAUUACUGGGCGUAAAGCGUGCGUAGGUGGUUGUUUAAGUCUGCUGUGAAAGCCCUGGGCUCAACCUGGGAAUUGCAGUGGAUACUGGGCGACUAGAGUAAGGUAGAGGAUAGCGGAAUUUCCGGUGUAGCAGUGAAAUGCGUAGAGAUCGGAAGGAACAUCUGUGGCGAAGGCGACUAUCUGGGCCAACACUGACACUGAGGCACGAAAGCGUGGGGAGCAAACAGGAUUAGAUACCCCAGUAGUCCCUGUCUCUUAUAC
RNAcentral lists this ribosomal RNA (301 nucleotides) under uncultured bacterium. RNAcentral describes it as "partial 16S ribosomal RNA". It matches the Rfam family "Bacterial small subunit ribosomal RNA", at positions 509 to 807 of the family's 1533-position model. The record is from RNAcentral.